Molecule: long non-coding RNA, 534 nt
Filed under: Homo sapiens (human)
Lineage: Eukaryota; Metazoa; Chordata; Mammalia; Primates; Hominidae
Description: non-protein coding lnc-PPARGC1A-1:1
Source: RNAcentral
CCAGAGUCCAAAGCAUUGUAUUCAGGGUGUCUUUUAGUGUUAGUCCAAUUUGCACUAUAUUCAGGAUAAUUCAGCUAUUGCCAGUAUUCUAGCAGUCAAAUACAAAAUGACCCAGGUGAAGCAUGGUGAACUUUUGGUUUACAGUUUUAAAUUCAAGAGGUCAGUUUCGAUUGAUACAAGGAUAUGAAAUUAGGGUUUGUUCUGGUUGAAUAGGUUGAGGUUUAGGACAGGGAAGGAAAAAGAGAAAGGAUAAAGCCAAUCAGAUGGUAUGACAUCACAUUCAAGACUAAAUAAUGAGACUGUGAGCUCAUUUUAUCCUCAGGCACACUGGAAAGUAGGCAUACUAUACAGUAACAGCCAACUUUUUGUUCAUUCUAACUCUUACCACACCGAGCUUUCCUUGGUGUCAGCCACAGGGGUCACUAAGCCAUCAGCUGAUCAAGAAAGUCAAUUGUCUCCUACUGCAAAGAAAGCAUGCCAGCUUCUUGAACAGGAUGGAGUUUUCUGUUUUCUUCUCCUCUGUUUUGCCUGCAC